This is a long non-coding RNA of Alosa alosa (allis shad), 2119 nucleotides long. RefSeq lists it as uncharacterized. Lineage: Eukaryota; Metazoa; Chordata; Actinopteri; Clupeiformes; Clupeidae. The transcript is spliced from 2 exons. The record is from RefSeq and is a predicted model, not a curated record.
CAACUAACGUUCGCAACCACUAUCGUAAAGUUGUGUAGUUACAGCUACACCUCUCGACCUGUAGUAUGUAGUAAGAAGCAUAGUUGCUGGAGACGACGUAACCCUGAUGACGGAACACGCAGCUGACAGAUGGAUGAGAGGUAGCCAUUAAACAUCCCAUAACAUUGCUGUGGGAUACCAUACCAUAGCAUUGCUGGAGGCUACAAUUGCACAUUACUGGACAACGUUAUGUGGUACAGUGGAAAGUGAAGUGUUGUGGAGUUAGCCUACAACAGAGCGGCCUGUGGUUUAGUGUUAUGGUGACCGCAAUCAUCUGUGUUGUUAUUAUUCGUGAAUUUACAUGUAGCCUAAUGCUAAUGUGUCAGCACAGAUUCUUUCGAACACCCGUUAAGUUAUCUGGUGAUAAAGCUUUUGAAUGCCAACGGUAUUGUUAUGUGAGGCUAGCAUCGUAAUUGUUAUAAAAGGAUAACGUUACAUUGUAGUCGUAUGUUAAGUGUUUGGAUGAAGCAUCUGCUAAUCAUACACAUAGCUAACGGUAUGGACUCUACAGCCCAUUAUGAUGUGGUGAAGUGACUGUGCUGUGGCAGAGACUAUAGCGUGUGUGCUUUACAUGAGAGAGGUCAGGGGUUCAAGACUGGGUCGAUGGGUGUGAGGUGAGUAUGCCUGUGGAGUGGGGUUUGUGUUGUAUCUUGUCUGAUCACAAGCUAUGUUUAGCGGGUGUAUAAGUUAGGCUACUCUCAGUUAUUAUAUGAUCUUGAUAUUUGAACACAUAGCUGAAUUAUGUUGGUACAAUGACAUUGGAGAAUGCUGCUGUGAAGUUGAGUAGCCUCUCGCUUGGAGAACUUUAAGACCUCUGGGACUUGAGUGAGCAUGCAGAGUGCUGUGGUCAGUGUCAAAAUGUGACAUGAUUUUCACUGAUUAACUUGUCCUUCAUGGCCCAGGUAUGGGUAGGCCUGUCAUGGGAGGCGGAAAAAUGGCCAGCAGGAAGGUGUGCAGCAGCCACCGGAAUGACCUCUUCCACCUCCUCCACUAACAGCUCCUCAUCAGCCGGCAGUGGGAUGUGAUCCUGAAGGGCCAUGUUGCAGAAGCGACGUCACCAAAACUACACUGCACGCCUUUGCAGGAUGGAGCUUCAGGCCACCAGCGGAUUUGCUCACACACCUUUCCACAUGCCCAGGGCCCUCUCCACAACAACGCGGGUCCGGCUAUGGGCGUUGUUGUACCGCGCCUCUGCCUCGCUAUUGGGCUCCUAGAUGGAGCAGUUGACAUGCUUGUAUUAUCAUAGGGGGUUGAUGGAAUAAAGUAGGUCUUGAAAUGUCAGUGCACUCAGGGAAUAUAGACAUUCAUUUGAAAACAACAGUAUAGACUUUGCUACUAUCUCAGCAGCAGAAGGCAACAACAUGAGCAGCACCUACAGUAACGUGUGUGUGUGUGUGUGUGUGUGUUUGUGUGUGUGUGUGUUGGUACAGCUGGCGCAGAUCCUUCAACCAUUUGAGCAUUGAAACAUUUGUGCUAUGUGAACUGUCAUUUUGUGGUUGUGAUUCAACACACAACUUCAUAACUACAAUGGAUGAAAAGUAAUGGUAAAAAAAACUGUAUCUGUGCAUUUAAAAUAUCAUGAAAUACUUGUGUGUGGUAACAGUAUUCAGUUUUCAGUGUCACAAUGAAAACACAUAACAAGGGCAACAUUGGAAAAAUGCUGCAUAAAGGCAUGACAAAAUCCCAUUGAAAUGAAGGGCAAUCAUACAGUAAAGUAUUCAUUUAUAUAGCGCUUUUAGAGUGAAAGAGUGAAACCCAAAGCACUUACACAACAACAUGUUGUUCAACAUUGUUCAUAUUACAUAUCCAUAUUUAUUCUGCUCUUACUGUAAGGUAACUGCUAAGAUACUGCACAUAUUUAUAUUUCAUUUAUAUUACUCUAAAUCACCUUCUGCAAACCAACUGUAUACUACUGUCUUCACGGCACUAUAUGUCUUGUCCUGUCUAUGCACCUGUCUAUACUUUAUAUAUCACAUUGCACUUUUCUGCCUUUUUGGCACUUCUGGUUAAAUGCAAACUGUAUUUGGUUGUAUUUGUACUUGUGCUCUGCACAAUAACAAUAAAGUUGAAUCUAAUCUAA